RNAcentral lists this ribosomal RNA (468 nucleotides) under uncultured bacterium. RNAcentral describes it as "partial 16S ribosomal RNA". It matches the Rfam family "Bacterial small subunit ribosomal RNA", at positions 28 to 507 of the family's 1533-position model. The record is from RNAcentral.
GACGAACGCUGGCGGCGUGCCUAACACAUGCAAGUCGAGCGGACAGGCCCUGCUUUUGCGGGGUGCUCGAUAGCCGAACGGGUGAGUAACACGUGUGUAACCUGCCCUUGACAUAGUGAUAACAUUAGGAAACACGGGCUAUUACCGGAUAGGAUAUCUUGCUGCAUGUUGGGCGCUUGAAAGUUUCGGCUGUUGGGGAUGGUCUCGCGGCAUACCAGCUUGUUGGUGGGGUAGUGGCUUACCAAGGCUCUGACGGGUAGCCGGCCUGAGAGGGGGACCGGCGACAUUAGGCCUGGGAUACGGCCCAGACUCGAACGGGACGCAGCGGUGGAGAGUGUUACACAAUGGGCGGAAGCCAGAUGCGACAACGCCGCGUGCGGGAAGACGGGCUUCGGGUUGUGAACCAAUGUCGCCUGUGACGAGGAGUUAGUGACGGUAAUGGGUAAAGAAGCACCGGCUAACUACGUG